Molecule: transfer RNA, 73 nt
Filed under: Thermoplasmatota archaeon
Lineage: Archaea; Methanobacteriati; Thermoplasmatota
Description: Candidatus Thermoplasmatota archaeon tRNA-Gln
Rfam family: tRNA
About the family: Transfer RNA (tRNA) molecules are approximately 80 nucleotides in length.
Source: RNAcentral
AGCCCGGUGGUGUAGCGGUCAAUCAUAUGGGCCUUUGGAGCCUGUGACGACGGUUCGAAUCCGUCCCGGGCUA